UUUAAAUAUAGUUAUGGGUCUUCGUGUUCAACAUUUAACCGUCUAUCUUAUUUAAAAUCUUUUAUAAUUAAUAUUUUUUUAUUAUAAGAUGAUAAAACAUAAAUUAGCAUGACUUGUAUUUUUAUUUUUUUCAUAAAUUAUUAAAUAAGACGGGUUAAACAUUGGAUACAAAGCCCACAACUACACCACCA
RNAcentral lists this microRNA precursor (191 nucleotides) under Oryza meridionalis. RNAcentral's name for it is "MIR812 microRNA precursor family". It matches the Rfam family "MIR812 microRNA precursor family". Lineage: Eukaryota; Viridiplantae; Streptophyta; Magnoliopsida; Poales; Poaceae. The record is from Rfam by way of RNAcentral.